AGCAAAUUAGUUAUGCCUGAAUGGAGG
Molecule: non-coding RNA, 27 nt
Filed under: Rattus norvegicus (Norway rat)
Lineage: Eukaryota; Metazoa; Chordata; Mammalia; Rodentia; Muridae
Source: RNAcentral